AAUAACCAAAUACAAUACUUGGGCUAAGGGUCAAAUUGGUAAUUUUUCUUACAUCUCCCCCCCCCGGAGCCCAGGUAUCAUAUACACCCCCAAAAAAAAAGAGCCUUAAAUCCUAGAAGAAAAGCACCUAUACCUAACAAGAUUAAAUGAAUACCCAAAAUUGUAGUCAUUUUAUUUCUAUCUUUCCA
This 188-nucleotide antisense RNA is filed under the name Morus notabilis. RNAcentral describes it as "Antisense RNA which regulates isiA expression". It matches the Rfam family "Antisense RNA which regulates isiA expression". The record is from Rfam by way of RNAcentral. Lineage: Eukaryota; Viridiplantae; Streptophyta; Magnoliopsida; Rosales; Moraceae.